Molecule: long non-coding RNA, 563 nt
Organism: Ornithorhynchus anatinus (platypus)
Lineage: Eukaryota; Metazoa; Chordata; Mammalia; Monotremata; Ornithorhynchidae
Exons: 3
Source: RefSeq, a predicted model, not a curated record
AUUUUAUCUAAGAGUGCAGCUCCAAAUGCAACUUUUGCCUUUCACUUAAUAAAUUGGAGGCUUGAAGUCAGGUCCCUCCAGAGACCUACUCUUAAGAUGACUCCUUAGCCUCAGGAAACUUGGGUAAGGCUGUCAUUUCUGUCAUUAUUGUAAAUGUAGUUAGAUCAUAGUAGUACCUGUUUUCAGUCGGUGGCUUAUUGCAGAGAACUUCCAGCUUCACAGAAAAUGCGAAGGAAGGAGAAAAAGGGGACUGAACAUGGACUCCCGAGGAAAGAAACAAAAGAUUGAAAACAACUACAGGAAAUGCGACAAGGAAUGGUGCAAGAUCGCUCCCCUGUCAAAGGGAAAAUUCAUGAAGAAAUUCCCCUGAAAUCUGCUCAGGGAAAGAGACCCCAGUGAUAACUAUGUUCCAGGUUCAUUCUUUGGAGAGUGAACUGUGUCCCGGGUGUGUUCUUUGGAGUGUCUAGAACCAUUUCUGGAAUUCAACUGAUUUUUUCCCCCCCUAUUGCACUAGGGAAAAGAAAACCAAAAAUGAUGUUUAUUAAAAACUCUCCACUUUAUAA